This is a long non-coding RNA of Mus musculus (house mouse), 1668 nucleotides long. RefSeq annotates it as predicted gene, 29873. The record is from RefSeq and is a predicted model, not a curated record. The transcript has 3 exons. NCBI's taxonomy places the organism in Eukaryota, Metazoa, Chordata, Mammalia, Rodentia, Muridae.
CCUAUUUCACUGCCUCGUGGUUUAAUUUUCAGCCUGAACCAGAUAAUGAAGAGCAGAGAGCUGAAGGAAAAGAAGAAGAAAAUCGUGUUGGCCAGGCCAGAACAGAUGGAUCUUUUUCUGAACAAGUUGUUCAUGUCACCCAGACUGGAACUCUCGAUGGCAAUCAGGCUGCUGCCACCUGGUGGAGAAAAGCAGGAUGGUCCAGCAGCAAAUACCUCCCAGAGGACAAAGCCAGGAAAGUAGAGGUGUUUGACAUCUAGACCUCCUCAGAUCCGUUGGCGACUAUGGCGUUCCUCUUCCUUCCAAAGCCCCAUUUGCUCCCCCAUUCUCCUUCUGUGCCUUGGACAUGUGUGUAAGUCAGUGAACAAGUGUGCAAACAGGUGGUAUGGUGUAUGCCACACGUAAGAGCCUCAGUGUGACUACUCCUCAGACCACUGCGGCCUUGGACACAAUACACUGUAUCUAAUAACUCUCCCUGGGGCCCAAGGCCUCCAGAUUCCAGAGGUCUUCCCUUUGAGACGAUCCGAUCUCCCAAGUCAGGGGUCAGCCAUGUUUCCUAGUCCCUAGGGAGGGAUAGUGUUUUAGGUUCUGUGGGCCACCACUGGGCUCUGCUGCAACCUUCGAUGCUGUGGCUGGAGCACUCAGGAGCACAGAUAAGGAGGGAGGGAUAACCCCCAAGAAUUGAAGGGGUACUGUUAGCAGAUAUCCUGCCUAACUGAGAGACCACAAAAUCUGUGUGCUUCCAGUACUUGGGACAUAGACUGCAGAAGGAUGAUGUCAUAGCCAUCCUCAGCUACAUAAUAAGUUGGAGGCCAGCCUGGGAUACAUGAGACCUUGCCUCAAAACAAAACCACACUCACCCAGAGCUAGAGCCUUAGCUCCCAGCUUGGUCUUCUAACUCAGCACCAUGAGCUCGGUUCCUUUUUCCAUUUACUUGACCAACACGGAUUCCCAUAAGAACAAAGGGACAAGAAGAGGGAGGGUUUCCUGGCCUAAGCUAUGGCAGAGGAGAGAAUACACAUACGUAUGUUCACAAACAUGUACACCAAACUGCACUCCAGUGCAGAAUGCCAAGCGCCUCCCAGGAAUGUGGAUGCAUGUUGCUCAGACCAGGAAGAGACAGUGGGGAUAGGGGACAAGGGACCAUGUGUUGCCCAAGAGAAGCAAACGAAUCAAGACUCAAAGGUCAGGGCACCUGGAGCUGUGGGUGUUGGGAAGGGCAGGCUGUCCAAUAGGAGGGGAGAAGAGCUGUAGCACAGGUAUGGGGGGAGGGGCAAAUGAAGGUGAGGAUCAGUGUUUUCAGGGGAGGUGCUACUGAUGAAACAAGCCUUGUCCCACAGCCACCUCCUUACCCAGGUUACUUCCCACAGGGCUGGUGGCUUCACCCAAAAUUGAUGGCAGAUGGCAAAGGUCCCGGGGAGGUCCUAACUACACAACUCCCCUUGCAGGUGCUGGGAGGCCUCAUUAGAAUAGCAUGGCAUCUACAAAGCAGACAUGGUGGCACAUCGUGCCUGUGACUUAGCACUCAGGCCAGAGAAAGGAGAAAGAGGAGAUCCGGGCUAGCCUAUGCUACAUGGGAGACUGCCUCUAAUCAAAGAUUAAAAAAUAACAAAUGUCAUUCACCACUAUUUGACAAAUGGUCCAUCGUCUUCCUCAUUUUUUGAAGAA